GGGGAAUUUUGGACAAUGGGCGCAAGCCUGAUCCAGCAAUGCCGCGUGCAGGAAGAAGGCCUUCGGGUUGUAAACUGCUUUUGUCAGGGAAGAAAUCUUCUGGGUUAAUACCUCGGGAGGAUGACGGUACCUGAAGAAUAAGCACCGGCUAACUACGUGCCAGCAGCCGCGGUAAUACGUAGGGUGCGAGCGUUAAUCGGAAUUACUGGGCGUAAAGCGUGCGCAGGCGGCUUUGCAAGACAGAGGUGAAAUCCCCGGGCUCAACCUGGGAACUGCCUUUGUGACUGCAAGGCUAGAGUACGGCAGAGGGGGAUGGAAUUCCGCGUGUAGCAGUGAAAUGCGUAGAGAUCUGGUGGAAUACCGGUGGCGAAGGCGGCCCCCUGUACGAAGACUGACGCUCAGGCACGAAAGCGUGGGGAGCAAACA
This 426-nucleotide ribosomal RNA is filed under the name uncultured Aquabacterium sp. RNAcentral's name for it is "bacterial SSU rRNA". It matches the Rfam family "Bacterial small subunit ribosomal RNA", at positions 356 to 774 of the family's 1533-position model. Lineage: Bacteria; Pseudomonadati; Pseudomonadota; Betaproteobacteria; Burkholderiales; Sphaerotilaceae. The record is from RNAcentral.